UUAUAAGAGACAGCAGCCGCCACGGGAAUACAGAGGGUGCGAGCGUUAAUCGGAUUUACUGGGCGUAAAGCGUGCGUAGGCGGCUUUUUAAGUCGGAUGUGAAAUCCCUGAGCUUAACUUAGGAAUUGCAUUCGAUACUGGGAAGCUAGAGUAUGGGAGAGGAUGGUAGAAUUCCAGGUGUAGCGGUGAAAUGCGUAGAGAUCUGGAGGAAUACCGAUGGCGAAGGCAGCCAUCUGGCCUAAUACUGACGCUGAGGUACGAAAGCAUGGGGAGCAAACAGGAUUAGAGACCCCUGUAGUCCCUGUCUCUUAUAC
This 314-nucleotide ribosomal RNA is filed under the name uncultured bacterium. RNAcentral's name for it is "partial 16S ribosomal RNA". It matches the Rfam family "Bacterial small subunit ribosomal RNA", at positions 499 to 807 of the family's 1533-position model. The record is from RNAcentral.